RNAcentral lists this ribosomal RNA (908 nucleotides) under uncultured bacterium. RNAcentral's name for it is "bacterial SSU rRNA". It matches the Rfam family "Bacterial small subunit ribosomal RNA", at positions 8 to 916 of the family's 1533-position model. The record is from RNAcentral.
AGAGUUUGAUCCUGGCUCAGAUUGAACGCUAGCGGCAGGCCUAACACAUGCAAGUCGAGCGAGAAAGUCUUCGGAUGAGUACAGCGGCGGACGGGUGAGAAACGCGUAGGAAUCUACCUAGUAGUGGGGGACAACUCGGGGAAACUCGAGCUAAUACCGCAUACGCCCUAAGGGGGAAAGUGGGGGACCGUAAGGCCUCACGCUAUUAGAUGAGCCUGCGUAGGAUUAGCUAGUUGGUAGGGUAAAGGCCUACCAAGGCGACGAUCCUUAGCUGGUCUGAGAGGAUGAUCAGCCACACUGGAACUGAGACACGGUCCAGACUCCUACGGGAGGCAGCAGUGGGGAAUCUUGCACAAUGGGCGAAAGCCUGAUGCAGCCAUGCCGCGUGUGUGAAGAAGGCCUUCGGGUUGUAAAGCACUUUAAGUGGGGAGAAAAGGGUAGUCGUUAAUAGCGGCUAUCUAUGAUGUUACCCACAGAAUAAGCACCGGCAAACUUCGUGCCAGCAGCCGCGGUAAUACGAAGGGUGCGAGCGUUAAUCGGAAUUACUGGGCGUAAAGAGCACGUAGGCGGUUUGAUAAGCGGAAUGUGAAAUCCCCGGGCUUAACCUGGGAACUGCAUUCCGAACUGUCAGGCUAGAGUGUGAUAGAGGUGAGCGGAAUUUCCUGUGUAGCGGUGAAAUGCGUAGAUAUAGGAAGGAACAUCAGUUGCGAAGGCGGCUCACUGGAUCAAUACUGACGCUGAGGUGCGAAAGCGUGGGUAGCGAACAGGAUUAGAUACCCUGGUAGUCCACGCCGUAAACGAUGUCUACUAGCCGUUAGGGUACUUGAUACCCUAGUGGCGUAGCUAACGCGAUAAGUAGACCGCCUGGGGAGUACGGCCGCAAGGUUAAAACUCAAAUGAAUUGACGG